UGAAAUGUUUAGGACCACUUG
RNAcentral lists this microRNA (21 nucleotides) under Petromyzon marinus (sea lamprey). RNAcentral describes it as "Pma-Mir-203-o2-v2_3p (mature (guide))". Lineage: Eukaryota; Metazoa; Chordata; Hyperoartia; Petromyzontiformes; Petromyzontidae. RNAcentral also lists the same sequence under 14 other names. The record is from RNAcentral.